RNAcentral lists this long non-coding RNA (1936 nucleotides) under Homo sapiens (human). RNAcentral's name for it is "non-protein coding lnc-TIMP4-4:1". The record is from RNAcentral. Lineage: Eukaryota; Metazoa; Chordata; Mammalia; Primates; Hominidae.
UCUUAGUGCAUGAUAAUUAAAACCUAAUGAAAUUCUUCCAGAUGGUCAGAUCAGACCUGAAUAAAGCAGCAAGUAUUGGAAGUUGGAUAUCUCUGAGAUUUUAUUGAGUGUAGCUUUCUGUUGACAAACUACCACUUAGGGAAAACAUAAUCUUGGAGAAAUGCAAAUCUGUUUAUUUCUUCAAAGUUAUAAAUUUUAAUCAGACCCAGCAGUAUUAAAUUUGUUCCGUCACUUUAUAUUAUGCCUUACUGUGGAAAAAAUAAACUUAGAAUCCUCAGCAGCUGGCUGGGCGUGGUGGCUCACGCCUGUAGUCCCAGCACUUUGGGAGCCUGAGGUGGGUGGAUCACGAGGUCAGGAGUUUGAGACCACCCUGGCCAACAUGGUGAAAAAGAUACAAAAAAUUAGCCAAGCAUGGUGGCACACGCCUGUAAUCCCAGCUACUUGGGAGGCUGAGGCAGGAGAAUCACUUGAACCCGGGAGGCGGAGGUUGCAGUGAGCCAAGAUUGUGCCAUUGCACUCCAGCCUGGGCGACAGGGUGAGACUCCAUCUCAAAAAAAAAAGAAAAAUCCUCAGCAGCUGUAUACAUUUCUCCAAACUUAAUUUCAUUAUUUGUCAUACAGCUAUAUUUAAAGAAUAUAACAUACUUGUUUAUUUGCUAAUUGAUCUUAAUAUUUUUCUAUAUUAAUAUACACUGUUGAAAUCGCUUGCAUAUUCCUCCCCAAUCCUAUUCCUCUACAUCCCUUCCCCAGGGAUAACUACUCUGAAUUAACAUUCAUUAUUCCUGUAUGUGUUUUUAUAUAGUUUUACUACAUGUGUAUAUAUCCGUAGACUGAAUAUAGUACUGUUUUGCUUGUUUGGGGCUUAAUAUAAGUGAUGCUAUUUUAUAUCUAUCUGCCUACGACCUGCAUUUUUCCCACUCGGUGUUAUAUUUCUGACAUGUAUUCAUGGUAAUAUACAAAACCCUGGCCUAUUUAUUUUUAUUACUUGAAUACAUCACAAUUUAUUUAUCUGUUAUGAUGGACAUUUAGUUUACUCUGAAAUUUCUUAUUGCAAGUAAUGCUGAGUUCAUCUUUCUUGUACAGGGGUCCCUUGCACAAGUCAUUUCUCUUUAAUUUUCUAGUAAUUACACAUUUUAUUUCUAUUCUUUUUGUGGUUAGCCUUAACUUCUUUUCUAAAAAAAGGACAUACUUUACUUACCUAAACAUAACUUUAAUCAGUAGCUCUACUCUCCUCCCUAGUUUUAGUAUACUUUAGGACUGGUCAUUCCCCUUCUCUCUUUACUCUCCUCCUAUGUCACAUAUUAUUAGGCAAUGUUUUAAUUUCACCUCAUUUUUAUAUUCCCUGAAUUCGUCAGUUUUUAUUACUUUGUACAGUCAAGUUUUUUCUAUUUUUAUUUUGUUUUGCUUUAGAUUUACCCAUAGGUUUACCAACAUUUUUUGCUCAAUUUUGAUUUUUUCACGUCACUACUUCCUUUUGGAUUCAAUUUCCUGUUUCCUGAAGAAUAUCUACUUUUUGUAGUCCUUUCAGAAGCGAUCUCUGAGAUGUAAACUUGUCUUUUUUUCUUUUUUCUUUGAGACAGGGUCUUGCUCUGUCUGCCAGGCUGGAGUGUAGUGGUGUGAUCAUGGCUCACUGCAGCCUCAACCUCCCGGGCUCAAGAGAUCCUCCCACCUUAGCCUACUGAGUAGUUGGGACUACAGGCACACACCACCACACUUGGCUGAUUUUUUUGUAUUUUUUGUAGAGACGGGGUUUUGCCAUGUUGCCCAGGCUGGUCUUGAACUCCUGAGAUCAAGACCCAUUUGCCUUGACCUCCCAAAGUGCUGGGAUUACAGGCAUCAAACUCCUGAGCUCAAGCUAUCCACUCGCCUUGAACUCCCAAAGUGCUAGGAUUACAGGCAUGAGCCACUGUGCCUGGCCUAAACUUGUCUAUAAUUGU